RNAcentral lists this ribosomal RNA (300 nucleotides) under uncultured Pyrobaculum sp. Its description in RNAcentral is "bacterial SSU rRNA". It matches the Rfam family "Bacterial small subunit ribosomal RNA", at positions 496 to 795 of the family's 1533-position model. Lineage: Archaea; Thermoproteati; Thermoproteota; Thermoprotei; Thermoproteales; Thermoproteaceae. The record is from RNAcentral.
UGUAGUGACGGGCGCGCGGCCGCGUGAAGACGCAGGAGGCCAGGGGUGGGCUGAAUUACGUGGCGUAAAGGGGCCGUAGGCGGGGGGGUAAGUCGGGAGUGAAAUCUCUGGGCGUAACGCAGAGGGUGCUUCCGAAACUACCGGGCUAGAGUGCGAGAGAGGCGAGUGGAAUUGCGGGGGUAGCGGUGAAAUGCGUAGAUAUCCGCAGGAACAUCCGAGGCGAAAGCGGCUUGCUGGAUCGCAACUGACGCUGAGGGACGAAAGCUAGGGGAGCAAACAGGAUUAGAUACCCCGGUAGUC